RNAcentral lists this ribosomal RNA (493 nucleotides) under uncultured bacterium. RNAcentral describes it as "bacterial SSU rRNA". It matches the Rfam family "Bacterial small subunit ribosomal RNA", at positions 14 to 507 of the family's 1533-position model. The record is from RNAcentral.
CGAUCCUGGCUCAGGAUGAACGCUAGCGGCAGGCCUAACACAUGCAAGUCGAGGGGUAGAGUUCUUCGGGACUUGAGACCGGCGCACGGGUGCGUAACGCGUAUGCAAUCUACCUUAUACAGGGGAAUAGCCCAGAGAAAUUUGGAUUAAUGCCCCAUAGUGUUAUCGAAUCGCAUGGUUUGAUAACUAAAGUUCCAACGGUAUAAGAUGAGCAUGCGUCCCAUUAGUUAGUUGGUAAGGUAACGGCUUACCAAGACAAUGAUGGGUAGGGGUCCUGAGAGGGAGAUCCCCCCACACUGGUACUGAGACACGGACCAGACUCCUACGGGAGGCAGCAGUGAGGAAUAUUGGUCAAUGGGCGCAAGCCUGAACCAGCCAUGCCGCGUGCAGGAAGACGGUCCUAUGGAUUGUAAACUGCUUUUAUACAGGAAGAAACCCUCCCACGUGUGGGAGCUUGACGGUACUGUAGGAAUAAGGAUCGGCUAACUCCGUG